RNAcentral lists this long non-coding RNA (359 nucleotides) under Trifolium pratense (red clover). Its description in RNAcentral is "long non-coding RNA (TPRA_LNC010251)". Lineage: Eukaryota; Viridiplantae; Streptophyta; Magnoliopsida; Fabales; Fabaceae. The record is from RNAcentral.
GUUGGUUAAUUUUUGGAUCAAGGGUGAAUUUGGAGGGAUGUUUAGGUAAAGAACGAGUAGUUCAACCUUGGAAAAUGAGUUGUGUGUCGAUGUUAAGCGAUGCUAGAGGUAUAAGUGUGGAAAUACCUAGAGAGUUGUAGCCGUGUAAGCUAGAAUUGUUAGUUUUGGCGGGUAAAACCUAAGAGAAAUUAAAUUUCUCAAGUAGUUUGACGGGAUUAGACCAUGAGUGAGUAGAGGCUCGGUAUGAAUGGGCAUUUAAGUUAACGAUUUCGAUCGACCGAGAGGGACGAAUGAUCAAGUAGCACCUUGAGUUUAUGAUAUCAUAGUAGUUGAAGUGGAAAAUUUUUGAGUAAAACAAG